GCUUGUCUCAAAGAUUAAGCCAUGCAUGUCUAAGUAUAAAUAGUAUACAGUGAAACUGCGAAUGGCUCAUUAAAACAGUUAUAGUUUAUUUGAUAAUUGAAAAUUACAUGGAUAACCGUGGUAAUUCUAGAGCUAAUACAUGCGAAAAAUCUCGACUCACGGAGAGAUGCUUUUAUUAGAUCAAAACCAAACGGCUUCGGCCGUCUCAUUGGUGACUCUGAAUAACUUUGGGCUGAUCGUAUGGCCUUGUGCCGACGACGUUUCCUUCGAAGGUGUGCCCUAUCAACUGUCGACUGUGAUAUAGACGCUCACAGUGGUUUUGACGGGUAACGGGGAAUCAGGGUUCGAUUCCGGAGAGGGAGCCUUAAAAACGGCUACCACAUCCAAGGAAGGCAGCAGG
This 400-nucleotide ribosomal RNA is filed under the name Crustacea environmental sample. RNAcentral's name for it is "partial small subunit ribosomal RNA". It matches the Rfam family "Eukaryotic small subunit ribosomal RNA", at positions 30 to 432 of the family's 1831-position model. The record is from RNAcentral. Lineage: Eukaryota; Metazoa; Arthropoda.